Molecule: ribosomal RNA, 888 nt
Filed under: Triticum aestivum (bread wheat)
Lineage: Eukaryota; Viridiplantae; Streptophyta; Magnoliopsida; Poales; Poaceae
Description: partial small subunit ribosomal RNA
Source: RNAcentral
AUGAGUAGUACGACUCUAUCCAUCUGUUCGUGGAAUGUAAGAGGACUAGGCGAUGAAUCAAAAUGUGCUGAUAUCCUUUCCGAACUAUUCAGUAUCGACCCUCAUUGUGCCCUCUUACAAGAGACAAAAUUAAACGACAUUAACGACCAAAAAUUCAACUCCUUCCUACCACGAUCUCUAGACCAAAGAAUUUUCCUACCUGCGGACGGCUCGGCCGGCGGAAUGGUUUCCGCCUUUAACAAAAACUUCUUCUCUCUAAUCUCAUACUCUCAUCAUCAGUACGCCACAUCCAUCAAAAUCACGUCACUCGCUCACCCCCUUCCCUUUGUCAUCACAAACAUCUAUGCACCUUCACAUCGCAACCUCAAACAGGCCUUCCUAGAUGAGCUCAAACUAAUCAAGGAAGAUGACCAAAUUCCUUGGUUGAUUGUAGGAGAUUUCAACUUGGUACACUUUUCCCACGAAAAAAACCGCAACUUCCGCCAACGGGAAGCUGACGCCUUCAACUCCCCGAUCAAUGACCUAGCACUAAUCGAACUACCCCUACUAGAUAGACGCUUCACCUGGACCAAUAAACGAGCUUCACCAACCCUAGCACGACUAGACCGUGCUUUCUUCAAUCUGGCCUGGAAUAAUUGCUUCCCCAAUACAACUCUGUCAUCUCUACCAUGCAUCACAUCUGAUCACGUCCCACUAAUCCUAAAUAUCCAAACAUUUGUCCCAAAACUGCGCCACUUUAGAUUUGAAUCAGCUUGGACUCUAUCCACUGCUUGCCACCAAAUAAUACAAAAAUGUUGGGCACCAAAUCAACACGUGCCCCAACCGCUAUCUUCUGCUGCUGCCCUUGCAAAAAAUCUAAAAAUAACAAGAUGCGCCCUAAAAAAAUAG